CAGCCGCCACGGUAAUACAGAGGGUGCGAGCGUUAAUCGGAUUUACUGGGCGUAAAGCGUGCGUUGGCGGCUUUUUAAGUCGGAUGUGAAAUCCCUGAGCUUAACUUAGGAAUUGCAUUCGAUACUGGGAAGCUAGAGUAUGGGAGAGGAUGGUAGAAUUCCAGGUGUAGCGGUGAAAUGCGUAGAGAUCUGGAGGAAUACCGAUGGCGAAGGCAGCCAUCUGGCCUAAUACUGACGCUGAGGUACGAAAGCAUGGGGAGCAAACAGGAUUAGAUACCCCUGUAGUCCCUGUCUCUUAUAC
Molecule: ribosomal RNA, 301 nt
Filed under: uncultured bacterium
Lineage: Bacteria
Description: partial 16S ribosomal RNA
Rfam family: Bacterial small subunit ribosomal RNA
Source: RNAcentral